AAAUUGAAGAGUUUGAUCAUGGCUCAGAUUGAACGCUGGCGGCAGGCCUAACACAUGCAAGUCGAACGGUAACAGGAAACAGCUUGCUGUUUCGCUGACGAGUGGCGGACGGGUGAGUAAUGUCUGGGAAACUGCCUGAUGGAGGGGGAUAACUACUGGAAACGGUAGCUAAUACCGCAUAACGUCGCAAGACCAAAGAGGGGGACCUUCGGGCCUCUUGCCAUCGGAUGUGCCCAGAUGGGAUUAGCUAGUAGGUGGGGUAACGGCUCACCUAGGCGACGAUCCCUAGCUGGUCUGAGAGGAUGACCAGCCACACUGGAACUGAGACACGGUCCAGACUCCUACGGGAGGCAGCAGUGGGGAAUAUUGCACAAUGGGCGCAAGCCUGAUGCAGCCAUGCCGCGUGUAUGAAGAAGGCCUUCGGGUUGUAAAGUACUUUCAGCGGGGAGGAAGGGAGUAAAGUUAAUACCUUUGCUCAUUGACGUUACCC
This 490-nucleotide ribosomal RNA is filed under the name Escherichia coli. RNAcentral's name for it is "bacterial SSU rRNA". It matches the Rfam family "Bacterial small subunit ribosomal RNA", at positions 1 to 480 of the family's 1533-position model. Lineage: Bacteria; Pseudomonadati; Pseudomonadota; Gammaproteobacteria; Enterobacterales; Enterobacteriaceae. The record is from RNAcentral.